RNAcentral lists this unclassified non-coding RNA (1591 nucleotides) under Caenorhabditis elegans. RNAcentral describes it as "Non-coding transcript of protein-coding gene C48D1.5a". Lineage: Eukaryota; Metazoa; Nematoda; Chromadorea; Rhabditida; Rhabditidae. The record is from RNAcentral.
AUGAAAAUCGGUUCUAUUUUAAUUUAUAUUUACCUAUACUAUAUUUUAUUUAUUCCCGUGUGCUCUGAAGAUAUAAAAAUUAUAAGCAUUGAAAAUCCGAUCUAUAAUUCCCGACACUGUGAGCUGAUUGAAAUGAGAGCCGGACAUGUAUAUGAUCCUUUAAUUGAUCAUUUAUUAGAAGAUGGUUGUAGAUAUCCAGUUAGGCAAACUUUUCUGGAAAGAGAGUUUAUUGAAGUUGUAUACGGGAAUGUUACCGGCUAUGUCAGUGGUCGUAUUCAAACUAUUGUUGAAGAUGGAUUUUUGGAUUGGGAUAAUUUCAAACAACGUCACCUUGAAAUACCAUAUGAAUUUCCCGAAGUGAAUGGUUAUAUUUUUGUGGAAGAUUUAAGCCCGAUUUGCUCAAAAAAUGGAAUCCUGUUUCUCAGAAUAUGCUUUUCUAAGAAUCCAACAAGAAAAUUCGGAACACCUGAUGUGUUUCUCACGGCCGAUGGAGCUCUAUUUCAAUUUGAAACUGACGGGCACGUCAUAUCAAGCUCAUCUUGCACUUUUUCAGGAAUUUUUGGCCGAUGUAAGGCUAAAUCUACAGCCAUGAUAUUCCUAAAUGGGAAUAUAUUGAAAAUUUCAUCCAGUUCUUCUCCAAUAAUUUUGUAUUCUUCGUGGACUUUAUUUGGAGUGGCUACCGUCUACGUCCGUCUCUUCAGUUGUCGUGAAAUCUUCGAUAUUCAUUGUCAAGACUACGGAGGAGUUCGCUAUCGAUCCGAAUACGUGAAAAUUGGCGAAUUAGAUGCCGAACAACCGUACUGGUGUGCAUCAGCUGCAGAUUACUCUCAAUUUGAACUUCUUUCUGGUUCAGUAGCCAUGCAUUCGGUCGAUUUUAGCAGUAUUGCCAAUUUGAAGGAUUCACUUGCCAACUCGAAUUCUUUCAAAAUUCGACCGGCGAAAGAUGGAGUAGCACACGGAUUUUCUGUGCAUUUCACAUCUGAUCUAACUGGUCACGGAUUAAAGGAUUAAAGGAUUAAAGGACGAUCCGUUCUUCAAGUGCUAUGCACUGCGGACAAUAUCAUUGACUCGUCGAAAUUAAGGGCAUGGGAUCUUGGAAUUAUUCCAUUCAAGGAACCAUGUUUGGUGAAGUGUGAUAAAGAAUAUGAAGGAUCAUGGAAACUCUUGAAUAAUCGAUUGGAUGUGUACAAUGAUUUUUACGACGAAAAUCUUCAAAAACACGAGGACAGUCUUCGCUACGAGACCGCUUCAAUGGAUCAACUUCAGAAAAUCCGUGAUGAUAGUUAUUUCAAGGCAAUGAUGGGAGAAAUUGAUCCGAUUGAACUUCCAUUUACUCGUGAUAUUUCAUCGAGUAUUCCAGCUCAGUGUGUAUUAAAUACUGUGGAAAGCCAAACGCCUAUAAGGCAUCUUAUUAAUGCCGACUGAAGUUCGUGGAAGAAGAAAUCGAAGAGAUUCCCCAAACUCAAGGACCCUCCAAGGCCCCCGAGCUUCCCCGAGCCACGAGCCCCACGCUCCCGAGCCAUGAGCAAAGCAAGAGAAAUGGAGAUUCGAGUGAUGACGAUGAGUCCAACGAGGAUGAGGACGAAUAAUA